UACGAAGGGUGCAAGCGUUGUUCGGAUUUAUUGGGCGUAAAGCGCGCGCAGGCGGGUAUUCAAGUCAGGUGUGAAAUCUCGGGGCUCAACCCCGAAUGUGCGCCUGAAACUGUUUACCUAGAAUCUUGGAGGGGGUAGGGGAAUUUCACGUGUAGGGGUAAAAUCCGUAGAGAUGUGAAGGAACACCUGAGGCGAAGGCGCCUACCUGGACAAGUAUUGACGCUGAGGCGCGAAAGCGUGGGGAGCAAAC
RNAcentral lists this ribosomal RNA (250 nucleotides) under uncultured bacterium. RNAcentral's name for it is "partial 16S ribosomal RNA". It matches the Rfam family "Bacterial small subunit ribosomal RNA", at positions 524 to 773 of the family's 1533-position model. The record is from RNAcentral.